RNAcentral lists this unclassified non-coding RNA (364 nucleotides) under Hevea brasiliensis (rubber tree). Lineage: Eukaryota; Viridiplantae; Streptophyta; Magnoliopsida; Malpighiales; Euphorbiaceae. The record is from RNAcentral.
ACGAGAUGGAACUCUUUCCAGUUUGAAACUAAAGUUAGUUUAUUUAUUUUUGUUUGUAAAUUUAUCUUUUGCCUAACUUCAGACCAAACAUAAUCUUAAAUGACCUUGUUCAAUUUUUGUUGUUUUGUAAAUGAUAUAAGCAACUAUGAACAUAGUCUUGAAUGAUCUUGGUCAGAUUUUGUUGUAAAAUUCAUUUUUUUGUGAUAUGAGUGCAUCUAAUUUCUGAACAUUUGGCCGUUUGAUAGGUAUUAAUCAAAGAAAACAUGCAACAUACAAGCAGUCAAAAGGUUGGAAAGACAACUCACCUCAGUGUUAUAUUGUGCAUAAAACUGAGCCACCAUGUUAAAAUGGCCAGAAAAAAUGA